AUGAAAACAAUUCUUAAGAGAGGGAGUGGAGGACAAUCAAAAGAACACAGACCUAGAAGGAGGCAGAACAAAGAGCGAGUUAUUUCAGCCUUCUCACUUAUUCAACUUGCAACUCUAAUUUGUCCGUCUAUCUCCUUGCCCAUCCGAUGGAAAAGCGAGAUUGUUUUGAGGAUUCGCCAAAAGACGCUAGAGACGCAAACACCGGCGCACCAACACACCAUAAAGAAGCUUUAUUACUUCAGCUUACGGCCAGCAGUCGGGCGCUGCUGCUGGGAAGUCGCGGUUCUCCUGAAAGCCCCGAGCCGGGUAAACGCGUUCCUUGUCAGUCAUUGGAGCGCCCU
RNAcentral lists this long non-coding RNA (341 nucleotides) under Rattus norvegicus (Norway rat). RNAcentral's name for it is "long non-coding RNA NONRATT013533". The record is from RNAcentral. Lineage: Eukaryota; Metazoa; Chordata; Mammalia; Rodentia; Muridae.